ACAAAAUUUUUCUCCUUUACAGCUGCUAGAGCUGAAUGAUGCAGAAUUUCAGAACUCAAGGCAGAAUUUUGCGUAUGAUGAUGUAGUGCGUUCUAAAAGAGAUGCAUCCAACCAGCAUCCUUCUUCACCCGUGCAUGUUUAAAAGUACUUCUCGAAAAUUUCUGUUAAUCUUUGGAUCUUCAUUCCUCGCUUCAGACAUCAUCUUCUUUUCAAAUAGACUCCCAGUCUAUGUGUUUACCUAAGAAAUAUUUCAAUCAUCUAUUUUUGUCAUAUGUUUUGACUGAUUUUUCAUCUCUAAUUGUUCUCAAUGGAAUGUUUUCUUGUCAAACUUUCAAUUAAUAAAGCUGUUUAGUGGUGUCUGA
Long non-coding RNA from Stegodyphus dumicola, 362 nucleotides. Lineage: Eukaryota; Metazoa; Arthropoda; Arachnida; Araneae; Eresidae. The record is from RefSeq and is a predicted model, not a curated record.